Molecule: long non-coding RNA, 717 nt
Filed under: Ricinus communis (castor bean)
Lineage: Eukaryota; Viridiplantae; Streptophyta; Magnoliopsida; Malpighiales; Euphorbiaceae
Description: long non-coding RNA (RCOM_LNC002463)
Source: RNAcentral
AUUGGGGUUACUAAAGUACAAACCCGAAAGUUAGUAUUUUAAUCUCAUAUGUUAAUCAACAAGUAAGAUAGAAAAUCCCAACAAUAUUGUUCAAAAAAAUUAGCAAGAACAUUCGUUUGCUUGCUUGAAAAAUAAAAAAAGAAAUUCUAUUAAAACUGAAAAAGAAAAAUGCUAACAAUGAAAUGGUCAAGUAUGAACAACAGAGAUUGUGAUUCAAACCAUGUGAGAACCGACAAGGAGAAGCAUGCAAACUCACAUUCUGCUUCACACUGAGGAAAAGCUUAUGUCAUGAAUAUUAUUUUCCCCUUAAUCACUCCAAUAAAGACAACACCCAAAAUUGUUUUUCUUUUCCCUUUUGAUAUUAACAUAUUUUCUGAAAUCAAAGUUGGUGGCCGUUGCUGCUUGUUUGAGCCAAAGGGUUCAUAUGUGAGCAACUGAACGCACGUUGAGAGACCACUGACUUGGAGGAAUCUGAAUCUAUGGCUCUUAAGAUUAUUAGAAACAAGCGCAGCUCUGCAACUGCAACUGCAACUGAUUGACGCAUGCAAAUGAGAGAUUUCCAAAGUUCUGCGACGUAAAUCUCUAUCUCCCCGAGACUUUAUUGAAUCUUGUGCCACAGCCAGCAUGAUAUUGGGUUGGGGGGCCAAGCCGUAGUGACAAAAAGCCAAGUUUUGUUAGGUGCAUGCAUGCAGUCCCGUGACCUCCUGCACUUGCUCU